RNAcentral lists this small RNA (16 nucleotides) under Arabidopsis thaliana (thale cress). Its description in RNAcentral is "ATSL173800". The record is from RNAcentral. Lineage: Eukaryota; Viridiplantae; Streptophyta; Magnoliopsida; Brassicales; Brassicaceae.
GUUAUGUAAGAACUUU